GAUGAACGCUGGCGGCGUGCCUAACACAUGCAAGUCGUACGAGCUCGAUCUUCGGAACGGGUUAGUGGCGCACGGGUGAGUAACACGUAGGUGACCUACCCCAGAGUGGGGGAUAACUUCUCGAAAGAGAGGCUAAUACCGCAUACACUCGGUCAUUCAUUUGGCCGAGCAAAGCUCUGGCGCUUUUGGACGGGCCUGCGUCCGAUUAGCUAGUUGGUAGGGUAAUGGCUUACCAAGGCUUUGAUCGGUAGCUGGUCUGAGAGGACGAUCAGCCACACUGGCACUGACACACGGGCCA
This 298-nucleotide ribosomal RNA is filed under the name uncultured bacterium. RNAcentral describes it as "partial 16S ribosomal RNA". It matches the Rfam family "Bacterial small subunit ribosomal RNA", at positions 28 to 333 of the family's 1533-position model. The record is from RNAcentral.